Molecule: long non-coding RNA, 1537 nt
Organism: Ziziphus jujuba (common jujube)
Lineage: Eukaryota; Viridiplantae; Streptophyta; Magnoliopsida; Rosales; Rhamnaceae
Exons: 5
Source: RefSeq, a predicted model, not a curated record
GCAAGUUCAGUGGUUGAAACCUUUGUAACAGAUUUGUAUAAUGGGGUCCGUCAUUUAUUGACGGAUUUUUCGGGAUUUAGAAUUGGGAGAAAAAGAUUGAAAUGACUGUUCAAAAUUUCACCUAUACCUUUGAGAUUUUUCAAAAAUGGAUUUUCGGACAAAAACACCCUUACAAAACAAAACUCCUAAAUAGUUUUUUCUUUUUUUUAAUACAGAUAAAUGAGAAGCAAAGAAAAAACACCCAAAUUCUCGUUCUCUUCUCACAUCUCCUUCACACUAUCCGAUUGUUGCUUCUUCUUCUCACAUCGUUUCCUUUGCAAUAUCAUCAUCUGAUCAUACAUCAUCGUUGUCCAAUUUCAAGCCACUCAAGAAACAAUCGCGAACCUUUGUUGUCAGAUCAAAAGCAACCCAGAGGUAAUCUCACACCAUCGUCGUCCUUAUCAUCACUCCGACCCAGAUGUAAUCACCCACUUUGUUCCUCAUUGUUUUGCAGUGAGACAGAUGGAAAAUUGUUAGAGUCAGAGAUGUAGUGGAAGCCAUAUCCACCACAGAGUACUUGAAAUUCAAAGAAUUGCUAUAUGAUGAUAAUGGGCAAGAGAUGAAAAUGCAUUGGAGGUGGAUUUUGCAGCAAUUGAACCCGUUGUUCCUCACUUAACCCUGUCAUCUUCAAUAGGAAAUGGACUCAGUUUUGUUUCAAAGUUCAUAAUUUUCAAGUUGAGUGGAAGAUUGGAAAAUACACAGCCUCUUGUGGAUUACUUAUUAUCACUAAGUCAUCAAAGAGAGUGAUAAACGAAACCCUCAACACACCAUCUAAGCUAAAGUUUUUCUAGCAGCUCUUGCCAAAGAUACUCCAUACCAAAAUUUUGAUUUAAGAUUUAAGGAGUGGGGAUUUGAGAAAGGAGGGGGAAGUACUGCAGAAAGAGUUAAAGAAACAAUAAGAUCUCUCUCUGAAGUACUACAAGCACCUGAUACUUUCAACAUGGAGAACUUCUUCAGCAGAGUUCCAACAAUCUUCAACAUUAAGAAAUAGAUUGUCUAUCAAUUAUAUCAAAGCAUGUUAUUAUUAUUAUCUGUUAUUAAGAAAUAGCCACUAGCCCUUUGAAAUCAUGCAAGCUAAAUGUUAUAAUGCAUUUUUGUUCAUAAAUGUUAAAAGGGUUUAUCUAGAAUCUCCUAGUUUGCCAAGGUCAUUUUACAUGAAAGCCCUUGCCCAUUUCUUGUCAUUAUAUUUGUAAUAAUUGUGGUAUUACCUUGGCUUCCAUUUGUCCACCUUGGAAUUUGUUGGCAACUAACAAUAUGUCUGCAUUUUUUUUUCCCUUGAUUUUUAAAUUUUUAUUUUUUCUUGCGGAGGGGUUGGAUCUAUGGAGGGGUGGAUCUUGUAAAUUCCAUAGAUAAGUUUAUCUAUGCAUUGGCAAAAAAUUGCCCCUAGCAAACUAAUGGGUAAAGUCAUUUAACACUUACAUAUUUGUUGAAUAAAUUUUAACUAUUAAAUAUGAUUGUAAUUAUGUUAUUGUUUUGUUGUAAUAAUAAAUAUUUUACA